AGAGCACCAGCCCUGCUCUCGGCCAGGCCGCUGGGCUCCCGGGACACCAAGGCCCCACCGUGACACCCACCUGACAGCCAGCCGCGCCCAGCCACUGCCGAGCCCAGCAUGGCCAGCUUCCAUGUGGCUGAGCAGAAUUCAAGCGGGAUUUGGGGCGACUGAGAAUUUUGGGUCCUCCAAGCUGAUGCUGUCAUGGAAAGGUCGCUUGGAGCUUCUGGGGAAGACAGAAGAGGCCUGGCUGGAGGUGGAGGAUGCCUGGAGGGAGCUUCCAACAAAUAAGGAGCUGUGUGUGCUGGUGUGGUGGGGACCUUGAAGGAAACAAGUCUCGGGGAAGAACAAGGCGGCAGGAAAAAAAAAUGAAAAACAAAUCCUAGCCGGAGAGGGUUUUUGUGUUUUUUUGAAAUGUAAAUGACACUCCCAGAAUUGCCUAAUAGUUAAAAUGAAAGACUUAGAAAAAAAUAAAUCAAAGGCAAAAGGGA
Long non-coding RNA from Peromyscus californicus insignis, 479 nucleotides. RefSeq lists it as uncharacterized. The transcript has 2 exons. Lineage: Eukaryota; Metazoa; Chordata; Mammalia; Rodentia; Cricetidae. The record is from RefSeq and is a predicted model, not a curated record.